RNAcentral lists this transfer RNA (77 nucleotides) under Candidatus Thioglobus sp. RNAcentral describes it as "tRNA-Arg". It matches the Rfam family "tRNA". From Rfam's summary of the family: Transfer RNA (tRNA) molecules are approximately 80 nucleotides in length. The record is from RNAcentral. Lineage: Bacteria; Pseudomonadati; Pseudomonadota; Gammaproteobacteria; Pseudothioglobaceae (SeqCode). RNAcentral also lists the same sequence under 1 other name.
GCGCCCGUAGCUCAGCUGGAUAGAGUGUCGGCCUCCGAAGCCGAAUGUCGUGCGUUCAAAUCGCAUCGGGCGCACCA